AUACUAGCCCCCCCUCUCUAGGAUUUAGCCACGCCCUUCAUUCGUUACUGUGAGGAUUUUCAGAACAGAGGUUGUGGCAGUUUCAGCAUCAAAUACCUGUUAAAGAAGAAAAGAUAGUUGAACUAGAAACAGAAAAUGCUGUUCUGUCCCUGAGAUUGGCAGAGAUAACGAAGUAAUGUUUUGCUCUGACCAAUGAGCCACAGGAAUGGCUCUAGAUGUGGUCAUCGUAUACUACCCUGAAAGAACCGCCAGAGUUCCAGGACGGCCACCUUUCACUUAAGCAAACUUGUCCACAGACUGUGUGGGUCCCAUCAGCUGAGAGUAGCCUUCACAUUGCAGUGAUGUGCAUAUUUCUGCUUUUCAGCCACGAUGGACUUUAGGAUCUUCCCUGAGGACCCUACACGAACCACAGGUGACCUGGAUGCAGAAGUCCUACCUGUAGCUGCCAUCCAGGGCAUAAGUCCCUCAGUGAGUGAAUUCCAGAUGGUUCUGUCUAAAGCAGCAUCAAGCAGGGUGGUGGGAUAGAAUGACAGUUGUGAGCAGUUCCCAUCGGCAUCAACUGUACCACAGACCCAGUCUCAGUGUGACACAGAAGACAACUACCUGGAAAGUUCAUCCACAGAGCACGUAAUUCUGAUUGGUGCAACAGUCUGGAAGAGUGAAAGACGUCAUCUCCCAAGGGCAAGUGCUGUGCUAGUGGACACUGAGGAGCUGCAGGGAUCAGACCCCUCCCCAUCCUUCUCCAGCCUCUCUUGUUCUUCCUUGAGAUGUUUCCUGCAGACCUGAAAGAUCCAGGCAGUCCAUGACAUGGGUUUGAAUUUAAUCUCAGGACAUUUUAUUCAUUGCCCAAAAACUAAGACCAGAUAAAAUUUAUUCAUUCAUUCAUUCAUUCAUUCAUUCAUUUCUUAUAUAUAAGUACAGGGUAGUUGUCUUUAGAAACAACAGAGAGGUCAUCAGAUCUAAUUAGAGAUAUUUGUGAGCUGCCAUGUGGUUGCUGGGAUUUGAACUCAGGACCCCUGGAAGAGCAUUCAGUGCUCUUAACCAUUUAUCAAUCUUUCCCAUUUCCAAGGUAACUUUUUUACUUUCAACAAGGUAUUCUUUAUUCAGGUUACAUCCUGAUCCCAGCUACUCUCCCUCUUCCCUUCCCAGUCCCACCAUACAAAUCCUUUCUAACAGUGCUCUCCCUUCUCUUUGGAGAUGGGGAUACUCCCUGGGUACCACACCACCCUGGGACAUCUAGUCCCAGGUGGACCGAGCACAUUCUGCCCCACAGAUUUACAAUCAGGCAGUCCGGGUAUGGGGAAGAGAUCCAAUGGCAGGCAACAAAGACUGAGACAGUCCUGGAUCUACUUGUCAGAUGACCCACAUGGAGACCAACUGCAGAUAGCUACACCAGGCUCUGGAGUUGGUUGCACAGGCUCUAGUAUACAUGGUCCAAAGUAUCUGACUGUAGGGGACUUCUUGUAGUGUUUUUGACCCCUCUAGUUUGCUCACAAUUCUCCCUCACUCUUCCACAAGACUUCCCAAGCUCCAUCUGAUGUUUGGCUGUGGGUUUCAGCUUGUGGAUGAAGCCUCUUCAGAGACAAGUAUGUUUCUUUUCUGUCCACAAGUAUAUCAGAGUAUCAUAAAUACUGUCAGAGGUUAUCUCUGUCACAUAGAUGGAUCUCACUUUGGGGCAGUCAUUGAUUGGUUGUUCCCUCAAUCUCUGCUAUAUCUUUAUCCCUGCACAUUCAUUAGCAAGAUAGAUUUUGAGUUGGUGCUGUGAGUGCAUUGAUGUCCACUUCCUCGUCUAGAAGUUCUUUCUUGCAACAAGAGGUAGCCAUUUCUGUCUCUUGCUCUGGUAGGAUUCUAACCUAGGGUCACCCCCGUAGACUCCCCCUAUGCUCUCCCUUACCAGCCAUCCAGCAAGUCACCAGAGAUCCCUGCUCCCUCCUGCCCAGAAAAUUUGUAUUCCCACUCCCAUCCCUCUCCCAAACCCCUCUCCCUUGACCUGAUCACUAUUUCCGUCUCCUUUCCUGCCUCUUCUCUUAACCUGUUCCAUCACUUCAUCCUUCUGAGAACUAUUUUGUUUUCCCUCUGAGUGAGAUGCACACCUCCUCAUUUAGGCCGUCCAGAAUUCUUUCUUCUUGUCUAUCUAUCUGUUAUCUUACACUGUAUGAUAAUGUCCACCUAUAAGUGAGUACACACCAUACGUUUUUCUGUGGUUCUGGGUUUCCUCACUCAGGAUAACAUUCUAAAGUUCAUCCAUUUGCCUAAAAAGUUCAUAAUGUAUUUAUUUUUAAUAGCUGAAGAGUAUUCCUUUGUAUAGAUAUAUACCUUAUUUUCUGUAUCCAUUUUUCAGUUGAGGGGUAUUUAGGCUUUUUUUAGUUCUUGGCUAUGACAGAUAAAACCAGUAUGAACAAAGUUCAUCAAGCAUCCUUGUGGGAUGGUGGGGCAUCUUUUGCGUAUAUGUCCAGGGGUUGUUUUGCUAAGUCCAGUGGUAAAACGAUUCCCACUUUUCUGAGAAACUGCCAAUAUGAUUUUGAAAGUGGAUAUACAAGUUUGCAAUCCAAGCAGCAAUGGAGGAGUAUUCCCUUUUUUCCACAUCCUCACCAGCAUGUGCUGGAUGUCACUUGAGAUUUUUAUUUUAGUCAUUCUGAUUCAUGUAAGUUGGAAUCACAGGGUGCUUUUGAUUUGGAUAUACCUGAUGACCAAGGAUGGUGAACAGUUCUUCAAGUGUCUCUUGGCCCUUCGAAGUUCCGCUGAUGAAUUUAGCUUUGCACCCCAUUAUUAGAUUAGGAUAUCUGGUUUCUUGUAGUUUAACUUGUUAUUUAUGUAAUUUGGAUAUUAGUCUUUUGUGAGAUAUAGGCUUGGUGAAGAUCCUUUUCCAACCUGUAGUCUGCCAUUUCUCCUAUCAAGUGUGUUCUUUUCCUUACAGAAGCUUUUCAGUUUCAAGUUUCGUUUAUUGUGGAUCUCAAUAUCUGAGCACCACUGGGGUUCUGUUCGGGAAGUUGUCUCCUGUACCAAUGUGCUCAAGCCUAUUUUCCAAUUUCUCUUGUAUCAGGUUUGACGGAUAAGGUUUUAUGUUGAGGUCUUUGAUGCAAUUGGACUUGAGUUUUGCAGAGCUUUAUACAUUAGGGUCAUUGCAUUCUUCUUUAUGCCUGUAUCCAAUUAGACCAGCACCACCUGUUGAAGAUGCUUUCUUAUUUUUGUCAUAUGAUUUUGCCUCCUUUCUUGACAAUAAGCAUCCAUAGUUGUGUGGGUUUAUUUCAGGGUCUUGGAUUUCAUUUUAUUGAUCAAUCUGUCUGUUCCUAUACCAAUACCAUAUAGUUGUAUUACUAUAGCUCUGUAGAACAGCAGUAAAUCAGAGAUGGUGAUUCCUCCUGAAAUUCUUUUAUUGUUCAGGAAAGUUUUAGCUCCCUGUGUUUGUUAAAUAUUUCACUUGAAGUUGAGAAUUGCUCUUUUAAGGUGUGUAAAGACUUGUUUUCAGCUUUGACAGGUAUUGCCUUCACAAUUUAGAUUGGUUUUAGUAAGAUGGUAGUUUUCAAAUUAUUAAUCCUACCUGUCCAUGACCUUUCUUAUGAUAUCUUCUUCAAUUGCUUUAAUCGGAGAUUAAAUUUUUUGUCAUACAGAUCUUUCCUUUUCUUAUAAUUGCACUGAGGCCUUUUUGUUAUAUUAUUUGUUGCUAUUGUAAAUAGUAGUGUUUCCCUAAUUUGUCAGUCCCUUCAUUGUUUGUUUAAAAGAGUCCUACUGAUUUUUUUUAGUUAAACUUGUAUCCAUAAACUUUGCUGAUGGUGUUUAUCAAAUGUAGGAGUUAUCUGUUCUUUUUAGCUUUGUCAGUCUUGGACCCAGAGGGCAGAAUGAACGGCUGUAAAGAUGACAGGGUGUUUCCUCUAUCCUAUCUUCUCCUUUGUCAUUCCAAGGGCAGUAAGCCUAGAAAUUACCUUUCCAUUCUUUCUCCAAACUCCAUUUUCUUACCAGACAGUGAUAGCUGAGAAUUCCAGACCACUACUGUGUCAUGUGGACCCUGUCUGCAGGAGAAUGGUCUCUUAGGGCAGGUGAAAUGUUGCCUGUAUGUUCUUCAAUUUGCAUGAGGUGGCUAGAAGGAGGUUUUUAUAUAAGGCACACAACACAUCAUUCUUCAACAAUGUGAGCCUUCAGAUCUGAUGUAAAUAUUUGAGAUUGAAUAUCUAGUUCAUGAUUUAAUUUCAAAAAUUCUAAAGAAAGGUUUCUGAUUUGAUGCUAGGGAUUUUAUUUUUAUCAAUUCAAAUCAACAUUACACUAAUCGUUGGUGGACAUUAUAGGUGACAGUUCUGUUAGAGAGUUAACUAAUUCUUCAGAGGUUCCAAAGACUCUAGGACUCUCACAGCAUUACACAGCAUUCUUGCAGGUAGGAGCAAAGAUAUCUGAGAAGAGUGGGAGCUCAUAGGUGGCCGUCAAACAUAGCUAUCUGAAAAGAUGUAAAUUUAGUAAAGAGAUGUAGAUACACUGUCAGGAAAGGAAGAAGCGUGUUGCUGUACCUCCUGUGACUUAAGUGCUAGAAGAACACUUGUGUCAGUCGAGUCUGCAACUCUUUCUCAGCAUAAUAGAGUUAUUUAAUUUUAAUUCCUGAAUUUUGCACUGUCAUUCCUUAGGUGAUUUAUGGAAAAAGACCUCAGUUUGCUUAUUUUAUGUGAAAGGGGAUUUUAUGAUUUCAUCACAUUUUCUAUUUUCAGAAUCCCUAAUGUGGGUUCAGAAGAUUUUUCUGAUCCAUAGAAAUCUGUGCAUCAGUGAAAUAUGCACACUUUCAAAUAAAACAGAAGCAUUUUCAACCCAAAAAUUCUUUUUAAUACAAGCUAUACGAUCAAGUGUUGAAAUACAAGCAUAAGUAUUUUUUUUUACAUUUAUCGAGUUUCCUAUUUGAAAGUGUGUCUUUGCUUUUUCCUCUGUAAGAGAAUAGAAUGUCCCAGAGAGCUGAUGAAGGAUUUGCACACUUGUCUUGCCUAGGAAGUGCAUUCUCCUUGUUUCUGCAGCACAUGGGCAGCCUUUGGUGGCAUAACAAUACCUCCCAAAGAAGAGCAGGUACCUGCUAUCCCUAGUGCAUGGGAAGACAGAUGCACUCAAGAACCUGCAAGCAUCUGAAAAAUCUGCAUGUGUGUUUGUGAGACCUGUAGUGAAAUAGACUUGGCCAUCCCUGGGCAGUGAGGUCAGAUGUGAAUAUGUGUUGUAAGAGCACAUUGAAUAGCAUACAUUACUGUGGGGAAAUGUCUCCUUUCACUGCCCCAUGCUAAUGCCUGGACUCCCCAAACAUAUUCACUGAUAAGCCCAUUGCCUUAAAGGUCUUCUGGUCGUUCAUGUUUGAAAUGUAAGUGGCCACUCAGUACUGAUGGAAUGAAGGUAUGCUUUAUUAUCAUGGCACAAGGUACACUGAUCAGUUCCAGCAGGCUGAAGGGUCAGUGAGAUGUUGUGUCCCCUCACUCUCAUGCAUACUUUGCUUGAGCAGGGCAGCAGGACAGCAUCCAAAUCUCAGGGGAUGGGUGAAAUACAAGGAGGGAGUGAGGCGGUUGUUACUCAAAGGAUGUAAAGUUCAGAUGAACAGGGAAUGACUGUGACUACUGUUAUAUGGUAAACUGUGACACUCCACAGUGUCCUGUAAAAAAUGCAAAGGAACUUUAAGAAAGGGAAGGCAUGUUUGAGGGUUUAAGGAAUUUGGGGGGAACAUUUUUGGAAGAGCAGAAUUUAUAUAUUAGAAUUAGAGUUUGUAUUUCGAUAUUUUAAUUUACAGGUUUUUUAAAUCUGUGGAGAUAUCCAUUAGAAACUAGAUUUGGUCCUGAUCGAGGACCAUGUCUUCUUAUGCACCCUGUCCUGUGUGGGAUUUGUGGCUCUGACCUACUGUUUUCCCUGGUCUCUGUACCACUUCAUUUUCUGCCAAAUCCUACAUGAUUCUUCCUCUGUCCAUUCCCAGGUAAUAAAGUGUUUUCAGAAACACAUAUACUCAUGAAUUUAUGAUACAAUUAAAGCAGAAUAGGUUGGUUGAUUGACUUGGCAGAAGAAAUGUUCAUCUCCUAAAGUGCCGGGUGAUUAUGUUUAUUUACAAAAUUUUUCAACUUAUUCACUCAAGGCAUUGGGAGGUAAGUGCCAGUCUUGAGGUUGCUUAAUCAUUUUUAGCAGUAUACAGAUAGUACUGCCCCUGCUCACCCUGUGAUCCCAGGCAGUCACAUACAUGACAGGUUAGGGGAUCAGACGAGAAACCAUAUGUGUGUGUAACUGUUAACACUGUGAGAAAUGAACACAGAACCUGUGCAGGUUGAUUGAAGGACCCUAUAAGACAUUAUCUGUUAGGUAGGCUCUCUUGAGAUAGUAGAGGGCAUGGGGAAGAGUCUCCUCCAUCGGAAGGCUCAGGAGGCAGGAUCGCAAGUUGGCUGGGAAAGUUAGGUCUCCAGGUGAUACGAGUAUUCAAUGCCACAGUAAAUUGAUUUGUACUCUACAAGCACUGUGGGGACUCUGUUUUUCUUGAGAAGGCAGAAGCAAAGUCCCAUAUUCAAUGAGCAGGUAAUCUACCCAGGAAAACUUCUGUGGGUAGGCAUACCGCUUUUGCUUAUGAGUGGCCAAUGAACAAUACCCACCGCCCCUCCCCCUACAGACUUAGCUAUGCCCUGAGGGGAUUUCCAGAACAGAGUUAGUGGCAGUUUCAGCAUCAAAUGCCAGUGAGUAUGAAGGGAGCCCAGGGAGUUUGAAACCAUCUCUCCAUGCUCUAAGGGACGUGGAAAAAAUAAGAGAACUGGGGUUGUCAUCGUAGCACUGUUUUCUGAGUCUUGAGUUCCCUUGGGAUGGAGAUCAAAUUUUCAGAAUCUUAGGGAAGUUGACCUGUUUGCUCCCAACUGUCUUUAUGGCUCCUUCCUCAAACUCCCACUUGGGUCCUCUCUGACCUUGCAUUUGCAGCAUCAGCACAUCUAGGUCCCCUGACUUGGCACCUCCCUCAGCUAUGCUGAACAUUCACAGACUCCAUACUGAGCAGGAUUUGGGAGUACAGCUACUAAUACCAAAAAUUAUGUAACCCUACUCUUUGCCCUCAUAGAGCACACAGCAGAAUAAAUAAAUGGAUAAAGUGAACAAAAAUAUAAACACCAUGUGUGGUAAUGGCUGCCAAGUAGAGAGUCUGGACCUUACCUGAUCUGAAAUCAGCCCCACCUAAGGCUUAUGGACAGGAUACUGGGAAGGGGAAAAACAUUUGAAAUGUAAGUAAAGAAAUAUAUCUAAUAAAAAAUUAAAAAACCAACCAACCAUACAAACAAACAAACAAACAAACAAACAAAAAAGACUAUACUGUGACCUUACCCAGAGAGAAGAUGAUCUGAUCUGCCUCUUAAAAGUGAGAUUUUAGCAGGUAGUGUUUGCUGACCAGAGAGGUCAGAUGCUUACUGAGCAGCCCCUUAGAAGACAAGGCUUGACUUCCAACUAGCAGACAAGGAAGUCUGUGGGCAUGCUCCAAGGAAACUGGUGAGAGCCGCAGGCAGCAUUUUGGAUCUUUGCAAAUUUGCCUAAGUGUACAUUGAAGGAAGAAAUCUCUGUUCCAGCAACAAGUGCUCAGGUCCUUAAGGAGAGCACAACUCUGCCUGCUUCAAGCUCCAGAAGCUACCCAGAAGCUUCAUCCUGGGACUGUACCUUAGCACUAACUCAGGACCACUUUACCUCACCUUGAGAGACUAAUCUUAGGACUUCCAUCCAUCCCAAGAUACAGCUGGGCUUGUAGCAUCAAUUUCAGACUCCAGGGCACACCAAGAAUGCACACUGUAAUAAUCUUUGUGGGCUGUCUCCACAUUUGAGCAGAGGUUUCUGUGGGCUUGAGAUUGGAAGUCUUGGGUCCAAGAGUUGGCUCCAGUUCUCCUCAGUUUGUAGGUAGCAGAUUCCUCUUGAUGUCCUGUGUUCUCCCUCUGUACCCUUCUAAUGUCUGUGGCUCUAGGGUUCCCUUCAUAAGGACCCCAAAGACAUUACAACAGAGCCCACUUUUCAGGCUUCCUUGAAUCGAUGACCUUGAAGGCACUGUCUUUAAGUGUCACCUGCUUAGUGUCAGGGACUUCAUCCUUCACCAUAUGAAUUGGGGUGUAUCUUGUCCAACCUAAGGCACUCAAGAGAGACUCAUAGGGUCAGGGCAAACCUGACAGAAAUUUCUCACAGAGCCCCAUUCUAAUUGGACCAGACUUUGUAAAUGUUUGUGUCCCAGGUCUUUCUGGUACUGCUGUCCAAAAUUGUUCUCAUGGUAUAAAUCUGUCAUUUAUGGAGGGAAACUGAACAAAAGGCUUCGCAUCAGUAAGGAAGAAAAAGGCAGUCGACUUGUAGAUGGAAUCCAAUUAUAAAUAGAAGAGACCCUAAGGAAUCUGCUAAAAUUUAGCACUGAAUAGUGAGUUAUACAAGACCAAUGAAUAUAAGAUCUGUCAGCAGAAAUGAAGCAGUUCUGUAGCCUAUCAGUAAACAGCACAAAAUUAAGGUAAAAUUUCUAUGUCAUACAGCAUGUUUAAAAAAAUCAAAAGUAUUUUCAAAUUACUUUGAUCAAACACAUACUAAACUUUUAACUAUAGCUUCUAUUAUUUUUGAAAUCUAGAAAAUAAUAAACUUCAUCAACAUAUUACAGAGAUUUUCAUAAUCAAGUGAACACAUUUAGAAAUUGACAGUGUAUAACUCAGAGGUUUUCAAACUCACACCAUGGGCUCUCUUUACCAAUCAGAGUUUAGAAGUGCAGAUAAUGCUGUCUCACAUUACUCUGUGAGAAGAUUUAGAGAGUUAAUUCCCUAACAGCAGGGUCCGCAUCCCAAUGUGGAGACAGAAUUCCCUUCAAGAGGGUCUAAAUCACCUGCAGGUAUGAGUAGCCCCCUCAAAGGAAGGACUGAAUCUCCUGCAGGCUAGAAUGACAAAAAUGAGAGGAUCCAUAGGAGGAGGGACUUAAUUUCUUCUCUGAUGAGACUGGAGCACCAGCAGGAAUUUGACUCUGUAGUCUGAGAGAUUAUUUUCAUCAUGAUGUUCUGAGUUCCCUGAAUCCACAGCUGGAACACUGAGCCACCACCAGGAACACUGAACCUGGACCAGUUGUCUCAAGGGCAUUAAAUACGAAUUUCACUUCUUUGGCUAUUAAAAUCCCACCAUGCUCUAGCUUCCUUCCAACAUCCACCACCCUUCAUUCCCCACCAUCUCAGCUUCUCAAUGAAUCCUUCCUCUCCUUGAUUUUCCAAGCCUACCUACGUCUUAUGAGCACCUACACACACACACACACACACACACACACACACACACACACACACACACACACCUGGCUUUGAAGGGAUCAGAUUUUUAUUUUUAAGGCUGAACUGUUUCUAUGGCUUUCUCUGUAAACUCUGCUUCCCAGCUACUUUCCAUGGCACCUUCCUGACCAAAAGAUAAAAGAGUCUCGAGUGUACAGCUUGCAUCCCUGGUAGUCCUCAGGUCUGGAGCUGAUGGGCUCAGAGCCAUGGGGUGUGUGUGGGUAGCCGGCCAGGCCUUGCUGAGGCUGACUUGUCUUGCCUCUGCAGUAUGUGAAGGAGUCUUCACAACCUGACAGUUGACUUUCUCCUUGCUGAGACUGUUUCUACCAUUUCUUGCACUCUGUUCAAUCAUGGUAUUUCAUGUGGGCAUGUACAUGCUGUGUUGGUCCAUUUUUCUUUUGGAUCCUGGGUUGCAGGUUAAAGAAAAAAAAGGUAGUUGAACUGGAAACAGAAAAUGCUAUUCUGACCCUGAGAUCCGCAUAGGUAAUCUUUGUCCUGUAGACUGAUUGACUGAUGAGACACAUGUGAGUGUUAGCUUUGCGGAGACUACUGUAGUUGUAAAAAAUGGAAAGGACUGCGGCUUUCCUUUGACGGCUGGUCCCCUCCAGUGAGAUUGCCACUUAGUGUGUCAUCCAGUAGUGGAACAGAAAUUAAUCCUAAAUCUUUCUUCCUCGUGCUCAGAAGUAUUUAAGGAAUAAUGCUUUAAUGAUACAUCCAACAGCUGGUCCUGGACAGCUGUGUUGUACUGUUUAUGCACCAUGAUUCACCCACAUUAAUUUUAAUUGAUGUAUAGAUAUAGUAGUCACCUCCAACCCCCAAAUACUUGGUCUCAAUAAGUGCAAACCCAGGUCAUCAGAUAUGGUUUCUCAGACACCCCACAGCACGCCGCACUCCGAGUGGGAUGCUGCACAGUUCAGAUGCAGACAUUUCCAGUGUGGCUGGGUGUUCAGUGUGCCCUUCAUCUCCUCACAGGCUCUUCUGACACAACCUCCACUGAAACUCCAGUUGUUUCCUUUCCUUGGACUUUUGUUUUGAAGUAUAGUGCUCUUUUUUCAGGUCCUGAUUCUAGAAGGCAUUGAAUCCCCUGCAGACACACAGUCCGUCUUGUCUUAAACUGGUACGUGUGUGUGUGUGUGUGUGUGUGUGUGUGUGUGUGUGUGUGUGUGUGUGUGUGAGUGUGUGUGUGUGUGUGUGUGUGUGUAUGUGUGUGGAGUUGUAGUAGUAGUAGUAGUAGUAGUAGUAGUAGUAGUAGUAGUAAAUGAAGUUCCACAGACCAAGACAACAACUCAGGAUACAGAACCCCCUGCAAGAGAUCCUCAGCUGAAAACAUGGAAUUCAGGAGGGACUGAAGACAGCUGACGUGCAACAUGAUGCUAAUCUUACUAAGAUCGUCAACUUUUCACCCAAUACCUGUGAAGCUAGAGUAGCUCAGAACACACUGAGAAGUGUAGAGAGAAAGAAUUCCAUGCCUAUUUUCCUCUGCCUAUGAGAAAUAGGUUUCAGGACCGUAAAUAGUUUUUGAGGGUAAGUUUCUCUUUUAUAAACACCAGUCUUUUUCUCUUAUAUACUACUUUAAAAUUAUUUAUUUUUAUUUCACUUGCUUUUGUGUUUUACCUGGAUGUGCAUCUGUGUGUGGCUGUCAGAUAUCCUAGGAAGUUUGUUGUGUAUGGGCAAUUCCAUGUAAAACAGAACAAAGAGGAAAUGCAACAUCAACAGUAGCAAUCAGGUCUCUCUCCUUAGGCCCCUGUGGAUGUAGCUGCCCUUGGGACUGACAGAGUCUUCUUUGUUAAUGCAUGCCAUACACUGAGCUACAGCUGUGAUGGCUCCUAUCCUAUGGCUACCACAGCACCUGAAUCUUGCCCUAUCUCCAGGAUACCUGCAUCCAGCCUUGUCUCCAGGCAAACAUGCUGAGGAAGAAACAUUAGCCACAUGUAAACAAUGUGGGAUUUGUAAGUACACAAAGAAUAUAUUUUCCCUAUCAAAUAUGCAUUAUAAAAGGAGGAUAGCAUGAAGGAGAGAGAUGCUAUAGACUAGGACUCCAGUUACACAGUGGUUUCCAUAUGGAUUUGUCAGACAUGACUAGGAAGGGUGUUGGGAAUCUGUGCAGACUUAGACAAACACAAAUGCUUUUCUGUAAUGGGAUCCAAGAGGAAAACAGGAUCAGAUGAAAGAUCCUUACCCAAGGAUGACCUCUCUUCAGUGAGAAGGCCAGAGUUAUGUGUGGCUUCCAUUUCAAGAUCUCGGGUGGAAUGUGUGAGUCAGGUGUCCUUGUGCCUGCUGUUCUCCAGUGCUUUUAACAAGAAGGCUUCCUCCUUCAAAAUGGCAAGCUUGAGUGUGGCAAGGUCUCUCCCUUCUGUGGUUGGAUUAUGGUUGUCCAACAAGGGUGUACAUGAGUAUAUGUACACUGUGUGUAUUAUGUAGGGCCCAUAAAAUCCGAAGAGGGUAAGAUAUUCUAGAUCUUGAGUUGCACAUGACUGUGAGCUGACUUGGAAGUGUUGAAAAUAAGUGAAGGUCCUCUGCAAAGGCAGCCAGUGCUCUCAAACCCUGAACGAUCUCUCUAGUUCCUGCUCUGAAGGUUUUCUGAUGUCCUGUUGAUUACUGUCUGCUCCACCAGCCUGUUCCACAGGAAUCAGUCUUAUGAUUGUGUAGCAUCACAACACCAAAAAUAGUUUAAUCUCUGACUGGAUGCCUUUAAUGAUUUUACAAAUGAUAAAAAUUGACUAUAUUUGUUUUUGAAUAUUAACAGUGCCUCUGGAACUAAACUCAGAUCAUCAGCUAUUCCUUUCCCCUCUGAACAAUCUCAAAAGCUCACACUGUAUAUUCUGUUCUGUCCUCAGUGUACCAUGUAUUUCUGUAAUCACCAGCAUUGUUAAAGCAAGCCAAAUGAGAUUUCUAAAAUCUUCAGAUUUUGAAAUUUACAUUCACACAUAGCUUGUGCUACACAUCAUUAAUCCCCCCUUUCAGGAGAGAGCAGGUCUCGUUACUUCAAAACCACCCUUGUGUACAGGGUGAGUUUUAGGACACCUUCAGUUUGUGGUGACACUCUGUCUCAAAUUAACCACACAACAACAACAACCCAACCACACUCACACAGAAACACAUGCAUGGAACACACACACACACACACACACACACACACACACACACACACACACACACACACAGCACUGUCCAAUUGCUACCGUUCUCAUUCCUAAAGUGAACUUUCAGUGUAACUGUACUUUAACCUCAACUUCCUCAGUCCUUCCAGUCUGCAGGCUUCUCUUAAACCCUGAGGAAUUGGCAACUGACAUCAGACCGGUUUCUACUUCCUGGUGGGGUAAUUGGUUUGUGUUGUUUUGUUAUUUUGUACUCCCUUAGCAGACCUCCCUAGGCUCUGAGAAGAUUCCAUUCACUUCCUUCAGAGGACUUUAGUGUUUUUAAGUCAUACUCAACAAAGUAAGAAACCAUUUGUUCUGACUGCAGCAUUUAGGAUCAUGUUGAAUAGGUACCAGCAGAAUGUACGCUGUUUAAGAAGUAGGUCUGUGGGUUAGGACUAGGUGUAAUUUCAUCUGCUGAGUGAAUGAGUGUUUGCUUCAUGUCCUUGCCCCUUUUGCCUUCUGUGGUAUUUUUAUUCCUGAAGACUAAAGGGUUUGAGUUUGGGUUGGAUCCUUCUGUGAUUUCAGUGUCCAAUACCUCUAGACCUAUACUGUAAGUGUGACCAGAUUAACAGGGCUGUUGAUUUUCCAUGGAGAUGCUUGUUUACAUUUUUACUUAAUCCACAUCUUAUGUGAAAGAGGAGGGAGAGCAGCUUGCUGGCUCUGCAGCAACACACCAAGACCCAGAGUGAAGGUUCUCUCUGUUACUGAUUCGAAUUCCAUGACAUUUUGAAUGAGCUAUCCUCCACUGUCUCGGGCAUUUGAGUACUCCUUUCCCAGUUGGUGACUCUGUUUGGGAAGAUUCAGGAGGUGUGCCCUUGCUGGAGAAAGAAUGUCAGCGGGGCUGGGCUUUGAGGUUUUAGUGCUUUUGCACCACUCCCAAUGCACCAUCUGCUUUGUACUUGUGAUUCUAGAUGUCAUACCUCAGCCUCCUCCUCCUUCCACCAUGCCCUGUAGUCAUGGAACUUAACCUCUGCUAACACACGUUCUCUGAAAUAGAAUCACUAAUGUCCUACUUGUUUUAUAGUUUGCUGUGCUCAUGGCAUUUCUGUCACAGAAAUGCAAAUGUGAUGAUGCUCAUGGCAUUUCUGUCACAGAAAUGCACAUGAAUGCAGAAGGUGACUUAAUGGAGUGGACUCUUGCUGUGUGACACCUGACAAUGCCAGGUUGUACUUGUUUCUUGUUUUGGGAAAUAUGUAAGAAUUCCAGUGCUCUAAGAUGAGUUUAAUGGGCUACACUGGCAAGAACUUGGGAGUCAGGAGUGCCAAGAGCUAUUCAGACUGUGGAAGCCCAGGAGAAGGGUAUUCAGAAGGAAAAAAAAAUGUUUGUAACUGGUCUAGGAUAAUUCCUAUGAGGCUUUUACAAAAAUGUGGCUUCCUUUCUGCCCACAUCCUAAAAACUUACUUGAGGCUAAAUUCAAAAGUAAUAAACAAAUUUCUUUGAUGAAAAUUUGAAGAGAGCCCAGUAUGGCCUCUGUCAUACUGUGCUUAUACUCUUCAAUGAAAAAUAGCAAAUGGGGCAAAAAGAAAUACAAAAUGUACAGUUUACAGAGAAAAAGACACUGGGAAGACUAAUAUUAUAGCCAAUGCCUAUACCAGAAGAGAGCCUGAAAUUGCUUGGAGAUUAGCAUCUUAAUAAGAGGCCAUGUCUCCUCAGGUGAAGACAUCACUCAACUAACUUAGUAAUCUGUGGUAGAAAAUGACUUACUUAGAGUUUUCCUGCUAUUAACAGACACCAUGACCAAAGCAACUCUUAUAAGAAGAACAUUUAUUUGGGUUUGCUUACAAGUUCAGAAGUUUGGCUCAUUAUCAUCAAGGUAGGGGCAUGGCAGCAUCUAGGCAGACAUGUUGCAGGAGGAGCUGGGAGUUCUACAUCUUCAACUGAAGGCUGCUACUAGAAAACUGAUUUUCAUGCAGCUAGGACAAGGAACAUAAGGGUUACAUCUACAGUGACACACUUCCUCAAUCAAGGCUACACCUAUCCAAUGAGGGCUCAUCUGCAAAUAGUCCCACUCCCUGGGCUGAGCAUAUUUAAAUCACUGCAUGAACAUUAGGUAUUUUCAGUUCCUGAUAUAACUUUUGAUCACAAACUGCUGCUGCUAUGGUUCAUGGGGUCCAGGUCUUCUAGAAAUCAAGCAUCUUCUCAUGUACUCUCAUCAGUCACUGGAAGUAAGGAAGCUCAAGAAAGGACUGCUGUGUGGUCUGAGACAGCUGAGAAAGUCUGCUUGAGAAGGUGUGUCAAUUUUCUUCUCUACAUGGAGAUAGUAUGGAGGUUACCUGACCUUACCUGGCCAGUUUUCAUGUUUGGAACCCCUGGACCCUAUUCAUUGUCAGGUAGGAAAGUGACAUUUGGCACUCAAUGACAACUUGUGCCUAUCGUGUACCCAAUGUUGAUAGAUGACUUAAGAAUGUAGGUUUGAAAGGUGUCCAGUUCUAUCUGGGAAGGAGAACAGCAGGCCUGAGAGGAACAGGCUUCAUGUGCAGAGGGAGGUAUCAUCUGUACGUGGGUGGGAGAAGUUUAGAGACGGUUAGUCAAACCUGUGUAUCCAGGAGAGCUCAGUUAACUGUGGAAACAAUAAGAGUAAAGGUAACUUCGAACUUGGAGAAAGAGAAGGUUUGUUGCAACUGUUUGUGGACUGUGCUUCAGAGAUGAUGAGACAUAGAGAAGCUCUGUCUUGGGUUCAUGGCACUAAGCAUGCUAGCUGAGUACUUCACAUCUUAAGUUGUGUAUGAUUUUAGGGGUCUUACACAGAGGUUAUCACCGUAUCUACCAAGAGCAUCUUGCUUUACUUCUAGCAGUCACAUGAAUGUAAAUUUCCUACUUGUUUGUGUUCUUAAAAACUCACUGAUUAGUUUUAGCUGAGCCUCCUGGGAGACUUUGCUCUUAAGUGCUGUAAGUUUUACAUAUUUGGUGAUUAACAUAAAUAACUAUACAUAGGUCAAUACAGGGCCCACACUGACAUCACCUUGCUAUCUGGAGCUGUUAACUCCUAGGCCAAGGUUCUCAAAUGUCUCUGCCUCAGAAAGAAAUGUGGUAGUUUGAUUUCAUAAUCUACUCACAUUCCUUUUGUCACCCAGGAUAUCUGCUAGAAUGAGAGGAUUCUGUCCCAUGCAGGACAAUCUAGAUACUGCUCCCCCAGCAGGAAUGAAAGGGCCACUUCCUGUCUCUGAGGGGCAGUCCCUGGUGUUCACUGUAAUGUCACCCAAUAGUCCCACCUUGAAUCUGCUGUUCCACUUGAGCCUGGAGCCUCCCUUUUAUUCUGGGAGAUAAACAGGUAUCUCCAGCUAGGCAGAGUGGUUCAAACAUGAGAUUUCGUGAGGGCAGUGAGAAUGGUGUAUACACAUUGAGGGUUUCAGAUUGAAUGAUACUGAACUUAAUGUACUUCCUAUUAGAGUCAUCUGUGAGUGACAUGUGAGCUUUGUAUUAAAAUUUACUUUUACGUCCAAGAUUUCAUGGUAUGUCAAUGCCCUACUUGCUUUUGAAGAUGUCCAAGGAACUGGAUAUAAAAGAGAAAAUACAAAUCAGAAAAUGUUCCUAGGUGUACAGCAUUGUUUAGAUGUGCAAGUCCCAGUGCUCAACUCCAAGAGCACACAUUAUGCCUUAGAAAUAGAUGAUAAGUGCUCUCUCUCUCUCUCUCUCUCUCUCUCUCUCUCUCUCUCUCUCUCUCAUGAGUGUGUGUGUGUGUGUGUGUGUGUGCUUGUAUAUGUAUGUGAGAACCUGAAGGUGAGCCCAGGGUCUGCAUGGUCCAGUUGGUACAAGGAUCCCACAUUGUUUGACUCUCAUGUAGACAAGUAUAAUGUUGUUGGGGUGACCAGCAUAUAAACAUUGGGACACGAGAGAACUAUUUACAAAGCCAACAGUUUUGACUGAUUUAUGUGAAUUAGGGCAGAUUUGAGAGCACACUUAAGAGAUUUAAACUGUGUUUGAGAAAAUUUUAUAUAUAUAUAUAUAUAUAUAUAUAUACAUAUAUAUAUAUAUAUAUGUAUACACACACACACACACACACACACACACACACACAUCAUAUCCCUGUACACCCCUUGGUUGGUGGUCUAUUACUGGAAGCACUGGGUGGUCCAGCCAGCAUAUGUUGUUCUUCCUAUAUCGCAAGACCUCCUCUGUCACAGGACAUCCACUGUUUAAGCACCACCACUACCUCAGGAAGUCCACUGUCUGUGUGUCAACUCCACUGUUACAGGACUUCAAGUGUCUCAGUAUCUCAACUAUCACAGGACUUCUACUGUGCCGGAGCUCAAGUGUCUUACAACGUCCAAUGUCAUAAGAUCAUCAAUGUCACAAGAACUCCUCUGUCCAAGGAACUGCACAGUCCAAACAACACUAUGAUUGCAGGACAUUCACUGUGGAAACACCUCUACUAUAGUAGGGCCUCCACUAUCCAUAUAUCAACUCGACUGUCACAGAUCACCCAUUGCUGCAGGACCUCCACUGUCACAGGACCUCCACUGUAGGAGCACUACAACUGUCGCAGGAUCUCCAGUGUCUUAUAACCUGCUCUAUCCCAGGACUUCCACUGUUGUAGCACCACCAUGGUCACAGCAACUACACUGUUUCAGGACAUCAACUGAAGCAGGACCUCCAAUGAUGCUCCAACUUCUCUGUCACGUGAUCUCUACAGUUACAGGAAUACUCCUGUAUCAUCAAUUCCAAUAGCUGGACCUCAGUUGUCACAGGACCUCCACUGUAGCCGAACCUUCAAUUUUGCAGCACCUCCACUGUAGGUAGAAUGACCUCCCCUAUCGCAGUGCCUCCACUUUCAAAGGACCUUCACUGUCACAGAACCUGCACAAUUUCAGUGCCUCUGCUGUUGCAGGACCUACCUCUUCACAGGAUCUGCACUGUUGCAGCAACUCUAAUUGCACUUUUACAAAGGCAUUACUGGUUAUUAGAUUUGAGGCUGAAUGGAAUGUGAUGUUACUUUCGCAAACAUAAGAAUUUGUUCUGUGCCUCUUGUGAUUAAUGCCACAUGUGCUAGGACCAGUAACUUAUGGAAAGAUUCCAUGAGGUCAUAGCACUCUCCACCUCACCUUGUGGAAACUGGUGUUUUCAGAGGAUGAUAAACUUCAGGUGAAGGGAUGCAGUCAGCAAGACCACGCUCUAGAGUGGGGUACACAGCAGUCAUAUUGAGUCCCUGCUGGGAAGAAAUCCAGAAGAGGGAGAAGGCUUGGGUUAGAGGAAGAAUCGUAAAAUAUUUAGAGAAUAUAAGAAGGUAAGAAUUAUGGGGAACUGGAAAACAGAGACAGAGGAAGAAUGAGCACAGAGCAAACUGGGAUGGACAAAGCACAAAUGUACCUGGGUUGUGCCUUCUGCAUGUUCUCUGGACGAUCGCCUUGUGCCUCAUUUCUGGGAGAACACUCUCUUCUCCCCAUAUAAAGUUUCUUUCUUGAAAGAAAGCAGCAACACAACUUCAUCAGUGAAUUCCCUAUUGAAAUUUGUUCGUUCCUUCAAAGCCUCUGGGAAGGCCCUAGCUGGGGAAAGUCCUCUCUGCUGAGAAACAGCAGGAAAGUAGGUUGUCCUCUGUGUUCUCAUUGCUACUGCUCUUCUAAGUGUGGUUGAUUGUUGAUUGAAGACACAGGGCACUUCCAGCAUGUAUGUAUGCUUUAUUCAGUGUGGGUGGCAUUGGCUGUAUCCUGAAAAGAAGGGCAGACCCUUCUGCCUCCUCUUUGACUAGGCUUAAGAUCAUAGUCAGACACUUAACCAUUGGAAGAUGAGACCAAUAUGUCUACAGUGUACUCACUUCUAUUCCUCUUUAGUCCUAGAGGGAAAUCAGUGCCAUCAGCAAGGGUGGGGAAUGGGGCCCUAACUGGACAAACUUGCUGAGCCUGGGUUAUGCAGCCAUGCCGGUGAAUAGCUUCCCCUUACAUUAAGUAAUAAGAUGCCAUGCUCUGGUUGUACCUUCCCUGAUACAGUGAAUCUAUAAUCUCUUGGCCUCAAAACCCAAUAUAUUACAUUGCUUUCACAAGUGGAGUGUCUGGCAUGAGAGGGAUCAUUUCCUCAUAGGGAUUUGGGAACCACUUACAGUCUUCAUUGAGCAUGGGUGUGUCAUCACCUAUGUGACUGUUAGCCCAUAUCUGUGAUUCACUGUCAUUAGGAGGCUAAGCUGCCUCUUCUGACACCCCACAGUGGGCCGGAUACACACCACUCACAACCUGUCUCCUCAGCUCUUGUAUGACAAAAUCUAACCCAACUCCUAAGUCCAUAUGUUGGGUUUAUUUUGUUUUUGGAACAUCCUAACGUUUUCCUAGGAAGAGAUCAGGUGCACCAUUAGGAUAAGCACCAUGCUGCCAGUUCAGCAUUUGCCCAAAUUUGACUUGCCUUGAAGGCCAAAGUUGAUGAUUUUGACUUUUCCAUUCUUCUCUAACAGAAUAUAAUCUGGUUUCAGGUCACUGUGUACUUUUACAGUGCCCAUAGCCGUAGAUUAAGCCUGCUAAUAUUUACCCAAAUAUUUCCUUGACCCUGUACUCCUCUAAGGGGAAAGACUUUCAAAUGUAUUUGUAAAGCUGUAAAAUUUCAACCAGUUUCAUGAUAAGUUAUUAGACUUGUCUCAGACUCAAUUGGAGAAGCAAGAUGAUGUUGGGGUGGAUGAAAAUCUUCAUUAUAUUUGCCAUGGUCAUGUUUGGCUGGCACCAUUGCUUCUUCUUUGCAUGCACUUUGAUAACCCCUGUAGCAGAACUUCCACUGUCCCAACACCUGCACUAUCCCAAGACCUCCACAGUCAAAGGACCAAUAUUGUGGUAGGGUGUCUGUGGUCAGGCAACUUCACUGUCUCAGACCCUCCAAAUUGCAAGACCUUUACAGGCACUGGAAGUUACUGUCCCUAAACUUCCACUGUUGGAGUACCUCAACUGUAACAAGGACCUCUAUCAUUGCAGAACCCCCUUGUCAUAGCACCUCUACAAUUAAAAGAAGUCCACUGUCAAAUGACCUCCAGUGUCUCAGCCCCUCCACUGUUGCAGGAUCUCUACUGUCUCAGGAUCACUACUGUUGCAGGACCUCCCCUCUCUCAGCAGCUCCAAUUUGCAGGAGCUCUCCUAUCAGAGGACAUUUACAUUUUCUGUACUUCCAGUGUCACAGCACCUCAACUGUUAAAAGAAUUUCCAUACUCACAGGACCGCCAAUGUCUCAGUAACUCCACUGUCCUAGGACCUUUAUGUUAUAGGACCUCUGCUGACACAAGAUGUCCACUGUUGCUAGACUUCCACUGUCAUAACCACUCAACCAUUACAAGGACUGCAAUUUUGGCAUGACCUCCACUGUCCCAUCCCCUCCAGUGUCAUAGGACCUCCACUCUCACAGGAUAAUCCACUGUCUCAGCAAGGCCAAUUUUCAGGACCUCUACUAGGACAGGAUAUCCAUGGUAGCUGGACGUACACUGUUGAAGUACCUCAACUGUUGCAGGACCCACAGCGUUGCAGGACAUGGACCCUCUCAGCUUCUAGAAUUUGCAGGACCUCUACUGGCACAGAAAUCCCACUGUUGCUGGAGAUCCACUGUCAUUGAAAAUGCAUUGUCUCAUGAUAUUCACUGUUGCUGGACCAAUAGUGUGGCAGCACCUCCAUUUUAUCCAAACCCCUCCACUGAUGCAGGAUCUCCACUUUUGUCGUACCUUCACUGUCCAAGCAAACCAACUAUUUCAGGAUCUCCAGUGUCUCAGGGCAUUCACUAAUGCCCGUCCUCCAACGUUGUAGGAUAUCCACUUUCUCAACAGCUACACUUUGGCAGGACCUCUAUUGGCAGAGAAAGUCCACUGUUGCUGGACCUCCACUGUCAGUGCAAAUGCACUCAUUCAGGACCUCUACUUUUCUAAGGACCUCUAAUAUUGCAGGACCUCUAAUGUCCCAGGACCUCAAGUGAUGCAGCACCUCCUUUGUCCCAUCACCUUUACUGUCCCAGAACCUCCACUUUCCCAAGACCUAUUCUGUUGCAGGGCCUCCAAAGUUGGAAGAACUGCACUGUAUCAAGACCUCAACUAUUGCAGGACCUCCAUCAUUUUAGGAACACAAAAGUUACACUGUCCAUAACCUUCAUUCUCCUAGCACCUCCACUCUCACAGGACCUACACUGUUGGCAGGAACUCCAAUGUCUAUGCAACUGCACUGUCUCAGGACCUCAAUGUUCCAGAACCUCCAAUGGUGCAGGACCUCCACUGUCAUGGACCUCCACUGUCUCAGGACAUCCACUCUAUCACCACCUAGACUUUUGCAGGACCUCUACUGGCCCAGGAUCUCCAUUGUUGCUGGUCUUACAUUGUCUAAAGACCUCUACUAUCACAGAAAUGCCACUGUUGUAGAACCUUCACUGUCACAGGGCCUCCACUGUCCAAGACCUCCACUGUUGCAGAACAUCCACUCUUGCAGCAUGUGCAUUGUCUCCUGACCUCCACUACAGCAGUCAAAUCUCCACUGUAUCGUGACUUCCACUCGUGCAGGUCUUCCAAUGUUGCAUGACCUCCACUGUGAAAGUAACUCCACUAUCUCAGUGCCUCCACUGUUACAGGACCUACACUGUCAGAGGAUCUGCACUGCUGCACCAGCUCCACUGUCACAUUUUUGAAAGCAUUGCUUGUUGUUAGUGUUGAGGCUUCAUGAAAUGUGAUGCUACCUCUGAAAAGUUAAGAAUUUUUUCUUCAGCUCUUGUGAUUAAUGUCCAGAUGUGCUAGAUCAGUAGCGCAUAGAAAACUCAAUGAGCCGAUAGCCUUCGAAGCCUCACCUUGUGGGUUCUGUUGUCUUUUGGGAGUGCUAAAGUCCAGGUGAAGGCAUGCGGUCAGAAGGAUAACUCUAGUGUGGGGUACACAUCAGUUGUGUUGAGUUCCUGCUGGGAAGGGUAGAAAUCCAGAACUGAAAGAAGGCUUAUGGUGGAGUAAGAAUCAUACAAUGCUAGAAUAGGUGAAACAGAAACAAUUUUGCAGAAAUGGAAACCAGAGACACAGGAGGAACCAGCACAGAACAAACUGGGUAGGACAAAGCACAAAGGUACCUGCGCUGAGCCUGCCUGCUGCUUGUUCUUUGGAUGUACUCUAGCCUUUAUUUCUCAGGAGAGACACUGUGCUGUCCCAGGAGAGUUUUCUUGCUUGAUGGAGCACAGGAAUACUGCUUGAUUUGGAUAUUCCUAAUUUCUUGGUCCACCCUGUAAAUCAUCUGAGCAUGCUCCUGCUUGGGACAGUCUUGCCCUCUCCUGAGGCCCAGAGGGAUAAUAGGAUGUCUUCUGUGGUUUCAUUGCUGCUUUCGUUCUCCCUGAGGCUGCUUGUUGACUGAAGGCAGAAGACACCCUGCCAUGUAUGUUUUGUCCAGUGUGCUGUCACCUGGAGUGGCCUGAAGAAAAGGCCAGUCCCAGUGGUUCUUCUGAAUCUUCUAUGACUAGAGUUAUGGACAUAGGCAUAAAAGAGGCCAUGGGGAAUGACAAGUUCAAUGUGCCAAUGGUGGGUUGGUUUCCACUCCUCUGAAGUCCUAGAGGGAAAGCAGCAUAAUCUUUAAGGGUAGGGAAUGGAGCCCUAACUGGACUCAAUGAGGGAGCCUGGUUAUGAAGCCAGCACCUGGAUAGCCUGCCCUUUCAGUAAGCCAUUGGACGCCAUUAUCCGUUAAUAAUUUUUUUUGAUUUAAAGAAUCUUUAUUUCUUGGGCUUAGAACUGAAUAUAUUACAUCACUUCCACAAUUCUAGGGUGUGGCCUGAGGUAUCAUUUCCUCAUAGGGAUUUGGGAAACCCUCCCAUUAUUUGAAGCAAGGUUGCAUUAUGAGGUUUGUGACUGUCAGCCUAUAUCUGGGGUUUACUGUGAUUAAGAGAUAAUGAUGAUGGUUGACCAUCAUAAACGUUGACAAAGAGGAGUUCAGGGGCAACAGAAGUGUAAGCACCACAGUGGUGCUUCAGCAUUUGCCCUGGUUCAACUCGGGUACUAAGGCGAAAUUCGAUUAUUUUGUUUUUUUCCAUUAAUAUCCAAGAUAAAUACUAUUUGGCUUCAGGUCCCUGUGAAAUAUUGUGUGCCCAGGGCAGUAGUUCAUCACUGCUAAUAUUUGCAAUAUAUUUUACUGACUUGUCCUGCUUUAGGUAGCCAUACUUUUGGAUGUAUUUGUAAAACUGUUGAGCUUCAACAAGCUCCAAGACAAGAUAUAAUAUUGUUUUGGUCUCAAUUAUUUGAAGAAGCCACGUGAUGUUGGGGUUGUCACCCAUCAUCAUCACUGCCAUGGUCAUUACUGGCUGGCAUUAUUAUUUCUCCAUUACAAGGACUUUGACAGCCACUGUCACAGGACCUAAUCUGUGGUAGAACCUCCACUCUCAGGCAACUCCACUUUCUCAGGACCUCCAAAUUGCAGGACCUCCCCUGGCAUAGAAUGUACAUUUUUGCAGGACUUUCACUCUUGUAGCAACUCAACUCUUAAAAGACAUCCACUUUAGCAAGAUUUCCAGUGUCUUAGCACCUCCCUUCUUGAAGGACCCCCACUAUUGUAGGACCUCCACUGUUGCAGCACAUCCAUUCUCUCAGCAUCUAGAAUUUUGCAGAAUGUCAACUGGCAUAGAAAGUCCACAGUUGCUGGUUCUUCAAUGUCAUGAUAAAUCCACCGUAUCAGGACCUUCACUGUUGCAGGACCUCCAGUGUUGAAGCACAUACACUGUUUCAGGGCCACCACUAUCACAGGACCUUCUCUGUCACAGGAUCGCCACUCUCUCAGCACUUAUGCAGUCACAGGACCUUCAUUGCUUUGGACCUCCACUCUUGGAGAACCUCCACUGGUCAAGCACAUCCACUAUCUCAGAAACUCCAGUGUCUCGGGACAUUCACUGUUGCAGGAUCUCCCAUGUCUUAGCACACUUAUUUUUGCAGGACCUCCACUCUCCCAGACUCAUCUCUACUGUCUCAGGACCUACACUAUAACUGUUGGACCUCUAAUGUCACAGGACCUCAAAUGACACUGGAUCUCCACUGUCCAAUCACCUUAACUGUCCCAACUCCUUCACUGUCGCAGGACCUACACUGUUGCAGGACCUCCAAUAUCGGACCAAUUUCCUGUCUCAGGGACCUCCAAUGUUGCAUGACCUCCACUGUUAAAAGAUAUCCACAGUUGCAGGAUAGCUAGUAGAGUUUUGCAGGACCUGUAGUGGCCCAGGACCUCCAUUGCUGAUGGUCCUCCACUGUCUCAGUACCUUAACUAACACAGGACCUCCACUGUUGAAGCACCUCCACUGUCCUAGGAUGUCCACUAUUGCAGACAACCUCAGUCUUAAGUACCUCCAUUUUUGAAGGACCUCCAUGGUGCAGGACCCCCACUCUUAGAGUGCCUCCAUUGUUGUAGCACCUCCACUGUCCCAGCCUCAUCUCCACUGUCUCAGGACCCAUAUUAUUGCAGGAUCUCCAAUGUUGCUGGACUUCUACUGUUGCAGUACCUCCAGUGUUGCAGGACCUACACCGUAGCAGGAUCUGCACUGUUGCACCAAUUCUACUUUCACAUUUUGUUGACAUUGCUGGUUAUUAGAUUUGAGUCUUAAUGGAAUGGGAUAUUACUUUUGAAAACACAGGAAUUUUUUCUGCAUCACAUGUGAUUGAUGACCACAUAUUCUAGGACUGAUAUCCCCUGGAAGAUUCCAUGAGCCCUUAGUCCACCAGUCUUCACCUGGUCAGAGGUGUUGUGUUUUGGGAGAAGUUGAAUCCAGGUUAAGGGAUGGGAUCAGCAGGACACAGUUCUGUAGAGUGGGCUACAUAUCAGUCAUAGUGAGUCCCCUCUGGGAUGAGUAGAAAUCCAGAACUGAGAAAAUGCUAUUACAGGACCUCCAUUGUCUAAACACCUCCACUAUUGCAGAACCUCCACUGUCCAUACAUCAACCAGCUCCACUGUCCCAGAGCCUGAGAUGUUGAAGAAUCUCCACUGUCACAGGACCUCCAUUGCUGCAGGACCUCCACUGUCACAGGACCUCCAAUGACUCAGCAACUACACUUUUGUAGGACCAGCAUUGGCACAGGAUAUGCACUGUUGGUAAGCCCUCCACUAGCCUAUAACCUCCACUGUCCCAGAACUUCCACUGUUGUAGCACUACCAGGGUCAAAGCAACUACAGUGUUUCAGGACAUCAACUGAAGCAGGACCUCUAAUGAUGCUGCACCUUCACUGUCACAGGAUCUCUACAUUUACAGGAAUACCACUGUGUCAGCAAUUACAAUUUUGCAGGACCUCAGUUGUCACAGGACCACCGCUGUAGCCAAAUCUUCAAUUGUGCAGCAUCUCCACUGUAGGUAGAAUGACCUCCCCUAUCGCAGUGCCUCCACUUUCAAAGGACCUUCACUGUCCCAGAACCUGCACUAUUUCAGUGCCUCCACUGUUACAGGACCUACCUCUUCACAGGAUCUGCACUAUUGCAGCAACUCUAAUUACACUUUUUCAAAGGCAUUACCAGUUAUUAGAUUUGAGGAUGAAUGGAAUGUAAUGUUACUUUUGAAAACAUAAGAAUUUGUCCUGUAUCAUUUGUGAUUAAUGGCCACAUGUGCUAGGACCAGUAACCUAUGGAAGAUUCCCUGAUCUGAUAGCUCUGUAGCCCUCAUCUUGUUGAAGCUGUUGUGCUUAGAGGGUCAUACAGUUCAGGUGAAGGGAUUGGAUCAGCAAGACAACUCUGUGGAGUGGAGUACAAUUAAGUCGUAUUGAGUCCCAGCUGGGAAAAGGAGAAAUCCACAAGACGGAGAAAGCUUGUGGUGGAGGAAGAAUCGUGAAGUACUUAGAGAGUAUAAGAAGGUAAGAAUUGUGGGGAAAUGGAAAACAGAGCCAAAGGAAGAAUGACCACAAAGCAAAGUGGGAGGGGUAAAGCACAAAGGUACCUCGGUUGUGCCUUCUGCUUGUUCUCGGGGUGCUCUCGCCAUGCCUCAUUUCUGAGAGAACACUGUUCUGCCUCAUGUAAGGUUUCUUUCUUGAUGUAAAGCAGAAACACAACUUGAGGGAUUCUCUCAUCUUCUUGGUCCAUCCUUUAAGUCCUCUGGGAAGGCCCCAGCUGGGGAAAGGCCUGCUCUCAGCUGACAAACACCUGGAGAAUAGGUUGUCCUUUAUGUUCUAAUUGGUGCUGCUCUUGUAAGUGUGUCUGCUUGCUGAGUAAAUGCAGGGGAAACCUCUGUCAUGUAUAUAUGCUUUGUCCAGUGUGGCUGUCAUCGGAAGUGUCCUGGAGAGAAGGGCAGUCCAGUGACUCUUCUGCUUCCUUUUGACUAGCCUCAUUAUUAUAGGCAGACAUUAGACCCUUGGAAGAUGAGGAGACCAAUGUGUCUAUGGUGUUCUCACUUCUACUUCUCUUUAGUCCUAGAGGGAAAUCAGUGCCAUCACCAGGGGUAGGGAAUGUUGCCAUAACUGGACAAACUUGCUGACCUUGGGAUCUGCAGCAAUGCCCAUAGAGAGCCUGCCCUUACAGUAAGCAAUGGGAUGCCACGGUCUGGUAAUAUUUUCUUUGAUGUAUCUAUAAUAUCUUAGGCUCGAAGCCCAAAAUAUCCAAUUGCUUCCACAUUAGCAGUGUCUGGCGUGAGGGGGAUCAGUUCCUCCAAGGAUUUGGGAACCACUUCCACUCUUCAUUGACCAGGGGUACAUCACUACUUCUAUGACUAUCAACCCAUAUCUGGGGUUGACUGCCAUUAAGAUGCUACACAGAUCUCCAGCUCUUCGGACACCCAACAGUGGGCAGGAUACACACCGGCCACAACAUGUCUUCUCACCUUUUUAUAACAACUGAGUCAAAUCCUACAACAGUGAAAUAUAAGCCUACUCCUUAACUCAAAUAUUGUUCUUUGUUCCAUUACAAUGUUUGCCUAGGAUGUAAUAACAGGCAUCAAAAUUGUAAACACCGUAGUGCCAGCUCAUCGUUUUCUCAGGUUCAACUUUGCUAGGAAAGGCCAAAGUUGAUGAUUUUGACUUUUCCGUUCUUGUGUAACAAAAUAUCACUCGAUUUCAAGUCUCUGUGAACUACACCGUGCCCAUCACAGUAUAUCGAGUCUGCUAAUAUUUGCCUAAAUAUUUCCCUGACCUUGUCUUCCUCGAGGUGGCAAGACUUUCAGAUGAAUUUGUAAAGCUAUAGAAUUUCAACCAGCUCCAUGAGAAGGUAUAGAUGUGUCUCAGACUCAAUUACCUGGUGAAGCAAUAUGAUAUUGGUGUGGAUGAAUAUCUUCAUUAUAUUGGCCAUGCUCUUGUCUGACUGGCACCCUUGCUGCUUCUUUGCAUGCACUUUGAUAACCACAGUAGCAGGACUUUCACUGUCCCAGUCACUGCACUAUCCUAAGACCUCCCUUGUCACAGGACCUCCACUGUGGUAGUACCGCAGCUGUCAGGAAACUCCACAGUCUCAUUACCUCCAAACUGCAAGAUCUCUACUGGCACAGGAAUUGUACUGCCCCUGGACUUCCACUGUCACAGCACUUCAACUGUUACAAGGACCUCUACUGUUGUAAGACCUCCUAUAUCACAGCACCUCCACGGUGACAAGGACCUGCAUUGUCAAAAGACCUCCAGUGUCUCAGCCCCUCCACUGACUCAGGACUUUCAAAUUGCAGGAACUCUACUAGCACAGGUCAUCCACAGUUGCAGUUCCUCAACUGUUAUAAGGACCUCCAUUUUUGCAGAACCUUCAGUGUCCCUGCACCUUCACAGUCUCAGCAACGCCAACUUGCAGGACCUCUACUAGCACAGGAUGUCCACAGUAGGUAUACUUACACUGUUGCAUUACCUCAAUUGUUGCAGGACCUCCGAUGUGGUAGGACAUCCACAUUUUCCGCAGCUAGACUUUUGCAGGACCUCUACUGGCCCAAAAAAAUUCCUCUGUUCUGGACCUCCACUGACAGUGCAAAUGCACUGUCUCAGGACCUCCACUGUUGCAAGACCUCCAAUGUUGAAGGAUGUCCAUUGUUUUAGGACAUUCCCUGUCAAAGAACCUCAACUGACACACAACCUCUGCUUUUGUAGGAUUUUCACUGUCCUAGAAAACCAAGUAUUGCAGGAAUUAUAAACUUGGAGCAACUGCAUUGUAUUAGGACAUUUACUCUUGCAGGACCUGCAGUGUGGUUGCACCUCCAUUUUAGCCAGGUCUCAACUGUAACCAGGCUCAUCUCUGCUGAAUCAGCACCUCCAAUAUUGCAGGACAUCCAAUAUUUCAGGUUCUCAAACAUCCCAGGACCCCAAUUGAUGAAGGACUUCCAAUGUUGCAGGACCACAAUAGUCACAGGUCCUCCACUGUCCCAUCACUUUUAUUUCUCCCAGCACCUCCACUCUCACAUGGCCUACAAUGUUGCCUAACCUCCAAUGCCUGAGCAACUACACUGUCUCAGGACCUCGAUUGUUCCAGAACCUCCAAUGGUGCAGGACCUCCACUGUCACCAGAUCUCCACUGUCUCAGAACAUCCACUCUAUCACCGACUAGACUUUUGUAGAACCUCUCCUGGCAUAGCAUCUCCAUUGUUCCCAGCCUUACAUUGUCUCAAAACCUCCACUAUCACAGGAGUGCCACUGUUGUAGAACCUCCACCGUAACAGACCUCCACUGUUGGAGGACCUCCCCUGUCUAAACACAUCCACUAUUGCAGGACCUCCACUGUCUAAGGAAUUCCGCUGUUCCAGGACAUCCACUCUUGCAGCACAUGCAUUGUCUCUGGACUUCCACUGUACCAGUCCCAUCUCCAAUGUCUCAGGACCUCCACUCUUACAGGACCUCCAAUGUUCACAACCUCAAAUACAAAACUGCACUAUCCCAGUGCCUCCACAGUUGCAGGCCCCAAACUGUCACAGGAUCUGCACUGUUUCAUUAAUUCCCCUGUCCCUUUUUUGAAAGCAUUGCUGGUUAUUAGUUUUGAGGCUUAAUGGAAUGUGAUGGUAUUUUUGAAAAAAUAACAAUUUUUCCUGCACAUCUUGUGAUUAAUUACCAGAUGUGCUAGGAUCAGUUGCCCCUAGAGGGUUGCACGAGCCCACAGCCCUGUAGACCUCACCUUGUGGCAGCUGUUUUGUUUCGGGGGUGUUACAGUCCAGGUGAAGGCAUGGGGUCAGCAGGACAACUCUGUAGUCCGGGGUACACAUCAGUCACAUUGAGUCCUUGCUGGGAAAAGGAGAAAUCCAGAAUAGGGAGAAGGCAUGGGGAGGAGGAAGAAACAGACAGUACUUACCGAAGUUAAAACGGAAACUAUUUGCAGAAAUGGAAAUCAGAGACACAGGAGGAAUCAGCACAGAGCAAACUGGGCAGGACAAGGCACAAAGGUACCUGGGCUGUGCCUGCCUGCUGCUUGUUCUUUGGAUGCUGUGUCUAUCCCUCAUUUCUCAGGACAGACACUGUCCUGUCCCAGGGGAGUUUUCUUGCAUGAUCGAACAAAAGAACACUGCUUCAUUUGGAUAUUCCUAAUUUCUUAGACCAUCUCUUAAAUCCUCUGGGCCAGGCCAUGCUGGGGACAGACUUGCCUACUCCAGAGGCACAGAGAGAUAAAAGCAAAGGGUAAUCAUCAUAGUGUUGGUUCUGUAUUUGCCCUAUAUCAACUUGGUUCAUAAGGCCAAAGACCAUGACUUUGACUUUUCCUUUCUUGUCCAAGAAAAUAUCAUGUAUUGUCUUCUGUGUUGUCAUUACUGCUUCUGUUCUCCCUGAGACUGCUUGUUGACUGAAGGCAGCAGACACUCUAGCAUGUAUUCUUUGUCCUGCAUGGGUGUCAUCUGGAGUGCCUGGAGGAGAAGGCCAGUCUCAGUGGUUCUUAAUCCUCUAUGACUAGUGUUUUGGACAUAGGCAGAAACGAGGCCAGGGGGGAUGACAAGUCCAAUGUGCCAAUGGUGGGUUGGUUUCCACUCUAAAGUCCUAGUGGGAAAGCAGCAUAAUCAUAAGGGUAGGGAAUGGAGCCAGUCUGAGACUGGUUGUGAAGCCAGGCACUUGGAUAGCCUGCCCUUCCAGUAAGCAAUUGGAGGCCAUGGUCUGGUUAUACUAUCUUUAAUAUAAAGAUUCUUUAUAUCUCGGGCUUAGAACUGAAUAUAUUUUAUUACUUUCCUCCCAUUCUUUGAAGCAGGAUUGCGUUAUUACAUCUGUGAUUGUCAGCUUAUAUCUGGGGUUUACUGUUAGUAAUAGAAAAUUAUGAUGGUUGACCAUAAACAUUGACAAAGAAGAGUUCAAGGGCACCAAAAUUGUAAGCACCAUAGUGCCGGUUUAGCAUUUGCCCUGUUCAAUUGGGGUACUAUGGAUAAAGUUGCUGAUUGUGGCUUUUCCAUUGAAAUCCAACAUUAUAUUAUAUGGCUUCAGGUAGCUGUGAAACAUUGUGUGCCCAUGGCAGUAGAUCAUCACUGCUGUUCUUUGCAAAAUAUUUUCCUGACCUUGUCCUGUUCUAGGUAGCCAUACUUUUGGAUGAAUUUGGAAAGCUGUUGACCUUCAACAAGCUCCAUGAUGAGACAUAAUUUUGUUUUGCUCACAAUGACUUGAAGAAGUGAGAUCAUGUUGAGGUGGUUACCCAUUAUCAUUACUGCCAUGGUCAUUACUGGCUGGCUCAUUGCUUCUACAUUAGCAGGACUUUGAUGUCCACUAUGCAGCAACUCCACUGUGAUAGAUACUCUGCUGUCUAGGCAACUCCACUUUCUAAGGACUACAAAUUUGAGGACAUCUACUAGCACAGGAUGUACACAUUUGCUGGACUUUCACUGUUGCAGCAACUCAACUCUUAAGGGAUGCCCACUGUUGCAGGUUUUCCAGUGUAUCAGGCUGCCACUCUUGAAGGACCUUCACUAUUGUAGGACCUCCACUGUUGAAGCACAUCGAUUAUCUCACCAAUUAGAAUUUAUAGGAUGUCAAUUGGCACAGAAAGUCCACUGUUGCAUGACCUCCAUUCUCACUGUAAAUCUACUGUCUCAGGACCUCUACCUUUGUAGGACCUCCAGUGUUGAAGGAUUUCCACUGUUGCAUGUCCACCACUGUCACAGGACCUCCUCUGUCACAGGACUUCCACUCUUCCAGGCUCAUCUCCACUGUCUCAGGACGUCUACUAUAUCUGUAGGACCUCCAAUGUCGCAGGACCUCAACGGACACUGGACCUUCACUCACCAAUCACCUUAACUAUCAAAGAACCUCCACUGUCUCAGGACCUUCACUGUUUCAGGGCCUCCAAUGUUGGAGCAACUGAACUGCCUCAGGGGCAGGACCUCCAAUGUUCCAGGACCUCCAUUGUCACAGGGCCUCCACUGUCACAGGAUAUCAACUCUUUUAGACUUUUGCAGGACUUCUGCUGGCACGUGACCUCCAUUUUUGAGGGUUCUCCACAGUUUCAUUACUUUUACAUUGACAGGAAUACCAUUCUUGCAGAACCUCCACUGUCCCAGGACCUCCAGUAUUACGGACUUCCUCAGUCCAAGUAGCUCCAUUAUUGAAGGACAUCUCUGGUUGCAGGACAUCCACUUUUACAGUGCCUCCGUUGUUAUAGGACACCCACUGUUCCAGCCUAAUCUCCACUCUCUCAUUAUCUCCAAUAUUUUAUGAUUGCCAAUAAUGGUGGACUUCCAUUGUUACAGUAAUUCCACUAUCUCUGUGCCUACAUUGUUUCAGGACCUACACUGACUCAUGAUAGGCACAGCUGCAUCAAGUUCACUUUCAAUUUUUAUUGACAUUGCUAGUUAUUAUAUUUCACCCUUACUGGAAUGUGAUGUUACGUUUGAAAGCCCAAGAAUUUGUUUUUUUAGCACAUGUGACUGAUUUCCACAUGUUCUAGGACUGUUAUCCCCUGGAAGAUCACAAUAGCUCAUAUCCCUCUAUUCCUCACCUUGUGGGAGCUGUUGCCUUUCAGAGGGUAAUGCAAUUCAGGUGAAAGGAUAGGAUCAGCAAGUGAUAACUUUGUAGAGUGGGGUAUACAUCAGUUACAUUGAGUUCCUGAUGGGAAGAGGAGAAAUCCAGAACAGGAAUAACCCUUGGCAUAGAGGAAGAAUCAAACAGUACUUACAGAAGGUAAGAAGGUACCAAUUUUAAAGAAAUGGAAAUGAUAGAGGAAGAACCAGCACAGAGCCAACUGAGUAAGAUAAAGCACCAAGGUACCUGGGCUGUACCUGGUCCUUGUUCUCUGCAUGCUAUCCUUAUUCGUUCUUUUUGGGGAGACUCUGUCCUGCCUCUUGUGAAGUUUCUUUCUUGGUGUAAAGCCAUAACAAAGGUUCAUCAGGGAACUUCCCCCAUUUCUUCCUCCAUCUCUUAAAGCCUCUGCUCCGACACCAGCUGGUGAAUAUCUUGCACUCUUCUGAAGCACAGACAGAGAAUAUGUUGUUUUUUCUGUUCUCAUUGAUGCUGCUCUUCUCCCUGAAGCUGCUCAUUCAGUAAAUGUGGGAGACAGUGUCUUUUGUCCAGUGUUGGUGUCAUCUGGAGUGGCCUGAAGAGAAGGCCAGUCCCACUGGGUCUUCUGCCUACUCUAUAACAAGAAUUUUGGAUAAAAACAGAAGUUAGACCAUUGGAAGAUGACGAAACUAAUGUGCUGAUGGUGGGCUGGCUUCUGCUCUUCUUUAUUCCUAGAGGGAAAGCAGCAGCAGCAUCAAUGUUAGGGAAUGGUGCCAUAACUGUUCUCACUAGGUGACACUGUGUUGUGCAGCCAUGUCCCUUGAUAGCCUGCCCUUGCAGUAAGCAAUAGGAUGCCAUGGUCUUGAUAUACUUUUUUUGGUACCUGUAGUAUCUAGGGCUUGGAACCAAAUAUAUUGUAUUGCUUCCACAAUUGCAAGUUCUGUCCUGAGUGUGAUCAGUUGCUCAUAGGGAUUUGGGAAUGCUUUUCUGUCUCUCUUGAACUAGAUUUGCAUGAUGGCGUCCAUGACUGUCAGCCUGUAUCUGGGGUUUACUCUCAUUAAGAACUUAUGCAGGUCAUCCAGCUCUUCUCAUAUCCCACAGGGGGCAGGAUUCACACAGGCUACAACCUGACUUCUCAGCCCUUUUAUGACUAGUCAAAUGAAACCUCUGACUACCAUGAAAUGUAAGACUACUCAUGUCUUCCCUGUGUCAUUCUUUGGACUAUCAUAAAAUUUGCCUAGAUAGAGCUCCACGGCAGCAAAAGGUAAUCAUCAUAGUGUCAGUUCUCUAUUUGCCCUAUAUCAAAUUGGUUCAUAAAGCCAAAGACCAUGACUUUGACUUUUCCUUUCUUGUCCAAGAAAAUAUCAUGUGUUUUGAGGUUUCUUUGAACUAUUAUGUGACUAUGGCAGUAGUUCAUGUCUGAUAGUAUUUACCUAAAUGUUUCCCUGGUUUUGUUCUCCACCAACUGGCCAGCUGUUCAGACGUGUCUGUAAAACUGGUGACCUUCAAGUAGCGUCACGACAAGGUAUUGUCUUGUUUCAGACUCAAUUACUUGGAGUAGUGAAAUGAUGUUGGAAUGGUCAAAAAUCAUCAGUACAUGUGCCAUCUUCAUUACUGGCUGUCACCCUUGCUUCUUCUUUACCAGCACUUUGACAGCCACUGUAGCAGGACAUCCACUGUUCCAGUAUGGUAAUGACCCAGUACCUCCACUAUCACCGUUCUUCCACUCUUGCAGGACCUCCACUCUUGCAGGACCUCCACUCUUGCAGCACCUGCAUUUAGUCAGGACCUCCACUGUACCAGUCCCAUCUCCAUUUUCCCAGGAACUCUACUCAUGCUGGUCCUCCAAUGUUGCCUGACCUCCAAUGUAAAAGUACCUGCACUAUCUCAUUGCCUCCAGUAUUGCAGGACCAACAUUGUCACAGGAUCCACACUGUUUACUAAGUCCACCAUCACUGUUUUGAAGGAAUUGCUGGUUAUUAUUUUUGAGGCGUAAUGGAAUGUGAUGUUACUUCUGAAAACUUAAGAAUUUGUUCUUCAGCUCUUGUGAUUAAUUGCCAGAUAUGUUAGGAACAGUUGCCUCUGGAAGAUUCCAUUAGCCCAUAGUAGGCCUCUAGGCCUGACCUUGUGGGAGCUGUUGUAUUUUGGGGUGCUCUAAGUACAGAUGAAGGCAUGGGGUCAGCAGGACAAGUCUGUAGAGUGGGGUACACAUCAGUCAUAUUUAAUGCCUGCUGGGAACUAGAGAAAUAUAGAACAGCAAGAGGGCUUGGCAUAGACCAAGAAUCAUAUAGUACUUACAGAAGUUAAAAAGGAAACAAUUUUGAACAAAUGGAAAUCAGAGACACAGGAGGACCCUCAUAGAGUAAAUUGGGUAGGACUUAGCACAAAGGUACCUGGGUUGUGCCUGCAACUUGUUCUCUGGAUGCUCUAACUGUGCUUCAUUUCUCAAAAGAGACAAGGUGUUCUGCCUCAGGUGAGAUUUCUUUCUUGAUGAAGAGCAGCAACACAUUUCAUCAGGACAUUUUUUUUUAUUUCUUGUUCCAUCCUUAAAGCCUUUUGGAUGGCCACUACUGGGGACAGUGUUGCCCUCUCCUUAGGCACAGAGGAAUAAUAGGUUGUCUUCUGUGUUCUCAUUGCUGCUUCUUUUCACCCUAAGGCUGCUUGUUGACUGAAGGCAGAAGACACCCUGGCAUGUAUGUUUUGUCCAGUGCAGGUGUCCUCUGGAGUGGCCUGAAGAGAAGGCCAGUCUCAGUGGUUCUUCUGAAUCCUCUAUGACUAGAAUUAUGGACAUAGGCAUAAACAAGGCUAUGGGAGAUGACAAGUCCAACGUGCCAAUGGUGGGUUGGUUUCCACUUCUCUGCAGUCCAGGCCUAGUGCGGAAGUAGCAUACUCAUCAAGGGUAGGGAAUGGAGCCAUAACUGGAGUAACUGUCUGAGGCUGGUUGUGAAGCCAGGCACCUGGAUAGCCUGUCCUUACAGUAAUCAGUUGAAUGCCAUGAUCUGCUUAGACUUUCUUUGAUAUAAAGGAACAUUAUGUCUUGUGUUUUGAAUGGAACAUAUUGCAUUACGUCCAAAAUUCCAGGGUGUGGCUUGAGAGGUAUCAUUUCCUCAUAGGGAUUUGGGAAAUGCUCCCAUUCUUCUUUGAAGCAGGGGUGCAUUAUCAUGUCUAUGAUGGAUAUAUCUGGGUUUGACUGUCAUUAAGUUGCUAAGCAGGUCAUCUAGCUCUCUUGACACCCAACAGUGGUCAAGAUACACACCUGCCACAUGUCUUCUCAACUCGUGUAUGAAAAUAGAGGCAACAUUUCCAACUACCUUAAAAUGUAAGACUCUAGCAUUCAUAUGUGGUUCUUUGAACCAUCAUAAAUUUAUCCUAGGAAGAGUUCAUGGGCAUCAAAAGUGUUAGCACCAUUGUACAGGUUCAGCAUUUGCUCUGAUUGUCUUGGGUACUAAGGUCAAAGUCAAUGAUUUUGGCUUUUUGUUUCUUAUCCAACAUAUUAUUUGUUUGUCCUGUGAUUAUUCUGUGCCCCUGAGAGUAGAUCCAGGCUGUUAAUAUUUGCAUAAACUUUGCCAGGCCUUGUCCUUCACUAUGUAGCCAUACUUUGAGAUACAUUUGUAAAGAUGUUGAACCUCACCCAGCUCCAUGACAAGGUAUCCACUUGUUUUGGUCUCAAUAACUUGUAGAUGAUGUUGGGGUAGAUAAACACAAUUGUUGUCAUUGCCAUGGUCAUUACUGGAUGGCAUAAGUGCUUCUUCCUCACAAGGACUUGGAGGCCACUGUAUCAGAACAUCCACUGUCUUAGCACCUGCUUUUUCCCAACACAUCCACUGUACUGUCUGUCCAAGCCUAUGUUUUGUUGCCUUGCCCCUGAACUUCCUGCCAUUGCAGAAGGAAGUAGGAUGACAUGGUCUGGUUAAUAUAUUGUCUGGUUGAAGUGUCCUUAGUUUCUAGGGCUUGGAAUCCAAUGUAUUCCAUUGCUUUUUCACAUUAGCAGGGUCUGGCCUGAGGGGGAUCAGUUGCUCAUAGGGAUUUGGGAACUGCUUCUAGUCUUAGUUGAACUAGGGUUGCAUCAUGACCACAAUGACUGUUGGCCUAUAUUUAUGGUUGACUAUCUUUAAGAGGCUAAGUAGGUCCUCCAGCUCUUCUGACACCCCACCAGAGGCAGCAUAUACCUCUUUUACAGCCUGUCUUCUCAGCUCCAAAAUUAAGAGAGAAUCAAAUGGAAACUUUCUGACUGCCAAAAAUUAUAAAAUUCCACCCAAGGUCCAUAUUUUGUUCUUUGGAACAUAAGAAAAUUUUUCAACGAAGAGUUCAGGGACACCAAAAGUAUAAGUAUCGCAGUGCUGGUUCAGCAUUUCCCCUGGGUAGAAUGAGGUACUAGGCCAAAGUUCAUAAUCUUGACUUUUCAAUUGAUAUACAAACCAGCACUCUUUGGCUUCACGUCCCUGUGAAGUAUUGUUUGCCCGUAGAAGUGGCUCAUCACAGCUAUUAUUUGCACAAUAUUUCCCUAGCCUUGACUUGCUCUAGGUAGGCAUAUUUUGGCACACAGUAAGCAAGAUGAUCUCCUGGUUUGAUUAUGCAUUGUAAUAUCUUAGACUCAGAAUCCAUUAUGGUGCAGUUCUUCCACAAAUGCAGGGUCUAGCCUGACAGAGCUCAGUCCUUCAUAGAGAUUUGGGAAAGACUUUCAGUCUUCCUUUAACCAGGGGUACAUCAUCCCAUCUGUGACUGUCAACCUAUAUUUCAUGUUGACUAUCAUUAGGAGGCUAAGAGGUCCUCCAUCUCUUCUGACACCCCGCAGGGGUUAGGAUACAUACAUGCCACAAUGGUCUUCUCAAUUGUAGUAUGAAUACAGAGUAAGAUCUGACUUUUUUAACUACCAUGAAAUGUAAAACUCAGGUCCAUUUGUCAUUCUGUGGACUAUCAUAAAGUUGCUGAGGAAGAGUUCAGGAGCUCCAAAAGAGAAAGCACCACAGUGCCACUUCAGCAUUGCCCUGGUUCAACUAGGGUUCUAAGGCAAAAGUCUAUGAUUUUGACUUCUCCAUUUAUGUCCAAUGGUAAAAUUAUCAGGUUUCUGUUCCCUGUGCACUAUACCCUGGUCAUUUCAUUAGCUCACAGUUAUGAUUAUUUGCCUAAAUAUUUCCCUGCCUUUGUCCUCCCCUAGGUGGCCCCAUUUUCAGGUGCUUUGGUAAAGCUGUUGUCCUUCAACAAGUUCUUACUUGCAGAAGUGAGAUGCUGUUCAGGUGGUCGACCAUCAUUGUCUCUGCCUUGGUCAUGAGUGUCAGGCACCAUUGCUUCUUUAGAAGCUGUUCGAUUGCUCUGGGGCUGCCACUGAGUCGAAGGCGUUGCUCCUGUGUCCCAUGGUCCUUAAGACUUUGUAUUGAGAGUGGAAUUUUCCCUCAUCAGAAAUUCUGCUGAGGGCUAGGGUGUGGGGUCUGCUCUUUACUAUGUGUAAGCAUUGUAGCUAAAGAUACUACAAAUAUAACCUACAAAUAACUUAAAAGUAUAGAAUAAAAAUAGUGGAAAAGAUGUAGGGAAACUGAAGCUAAAUUCACAGCAUGUGUUUACUAAAAUGACCAAAAUGUCUUUGGGAUUGCAAUUUAUUCUUUUAUUUGUUUUUGUUUUACUUUUUGUUUUUGUUUUUUUCUUUGUUUUUUGGCUCUCUCAAGAGGGCAACCCUGUAGUGCAAUAGAUCACAUAUUCAGAUGAUGUCAGGUGAAAUAGUCAUUGGCCACAUAAAGGCUAAAGCCUGUGUUUGGGCAAUGGAAGGAAAGACACAGCAGAACUUUUUGGGGAAUGGAGAGAAAGAAGAAUAGAGGCGGAAGAUUCGGGCAAGAAGAAGAUGGGGGAGAAAGAGGUUGAAAAUGGAGCAGGCACACGUGGCUUGCAGGAGCCACAAGUAGGUAGAGAUUUUAUAAAUGGGCAAUAGAGUAGUGUAGUGGUAGAUUUGUCUAAUCUAAGCACUCAGCUUAUAAUUAUAUAAUUGAGUUUUCUGUUUUUGCAUGGGCCUUUUGGCGUUGGAGAUUUACCCCUAUAAAUCUGGCUAGUAGAAGCUUCUUGGGUUUUCAUUACAAAAGACUAAGGCAAAUCCUGUGAGAGGAGCAUUGGCCAGCCUUCUGCAGGUCGGGGAGAUGGGGUGGAUGAGAUAAGAAACGCAAGCAGCAGUCCAGGCAUUUCAGAUUAAAGUUGUUUGGUUAGAGUAGCAAACUAGGAGCAGGAACCAGGCAAGAUGGAUGCAUAGACCUGGCCAUGUGGGUUGAGCAUUACCACUGAUACCAGAGCAUAGCAGGAAUUUGCAUUCCUGUGUUCUCAUUGCUGUUGUGUUCUCUCUGAGGAUGAUUGUUGAAUGAAUUCAGGCGACACUGCUGCUGUGGAUGUAUGUUUGUCCAGUGUGGGUGUAAUCUGGUGUGGCCUCAAGAAACAAAGGGCAGCCCCAGUGACUCUUCUGCCUACUUUUUGACCAGAUUGUGGUCAAAGGAAGUCACUAGACCAUUGGAUGAUGAUGAGGCCUGUGCGUAUAGGGCGAGGUAGCUACCACUCCUCUACAGCCCAACAGGAAUGCAUCAUCAUCAUCAAGGAAAGGGAAUAACUGGACUCAAUGUGUGAGCCUCCAUUGUUCAGCCUUGCACCUGGAGAACUUGCCUGUACAGUAAGCCACAUGAUCCCAUGGUUUUAUUUUAUAUUACAAUAUCUUAGGCUCUGAACCCAGUAUGUUCUAUUUCUUCCACAAUUGCAGGGUCUAGCCUGACAGAGCUCAGUCCUUCAUAGGGAUUUGGGAAAGCCUUUCAGUCUUCCUUUAACCAGGGGUACAUCAUCACAUCUGUGACUCUCAACCUAUAUUUCGUAUUGACUAUCAUUAAGAGGCCAAGAGGUCCUAUAUCUCUUUUGACACCCCACAAAGGUUUGGAUACAUACUUGCCACAAACGGUCUUCAAAACUGUAGUAUGAAGACAGAGUAAAAUCUGACUUUUUUAAUCUACCAUUAAAUGUAAAACUAUGGUCCAUAUGUCAUUCUGUGGACUAUCAUAAAGUUUGCUGAGGAAGAGUUCAGGAGCUCCAAAAGAGAAAGGACCACAGUGCCAGUUCAGCAUUGCCCUGGUUCCACUUGAGUUCUAAGGUGAAAGUCGAUGAUUUUGACAUUUCCAUUUAUGUCCAUCAUAAACUUAUCAGGUUUAGAUUCCCUGUGUACUAUACCCUGGUCAUGGCAUUAGCUCACAGUUGCAAUUAUUUGCCUAAAUAUUUUUUGCCCUUGUCCUCCUCUAGGUGGCCCCAUUUUCAGGUGUUUUGGUAAAGCUGUUGUCCUUCCACAAGCUCUUACUUGUAGAAGUGAGAUGCUGUUCAGGUAGUCAACCAUCAUCAUUGUCUCUGCCUUGGUCAUGAGUGACAGGCACCAUUGCUUCUUUAGAAGCAGUUCCAUGGCCAUGGGUCUGCCACUGAGGCAAAGGCGUUGCUCCUGCGUCCCCUGGGCUUUAAGACUUUGUUUUGAGAGUGGAAGUGUCCCUCAUCAGAAAUUUGCCUGGGGCUUGGGUGUGGGAACUCCUCCUUACUAUGUGGAAUCAUUGUAGCUAAGAAUACUACAAAUAUUCCCUAGAAAUAACUUAAAAUUAUAGAAUAAAAAUGAUGAAAAAGAUGUAGAGAAACUGAAGCUACAAUCACUGCAUGUGUUAACUAAAACUGAGCAAAAUGUCUUGUGGACUGCAGUUUUUUGUUUUGUUUUUCUUGCUCUCUCAAGAGGGCAACUCUGUAGUGCAAUAGAUCACAUAUUCAGGUGAUGUCAUGGGAAAUAGUAAUUGGCCAAAUAAAGGCUACAGCCAGUGUUUGGGCUAUGGAAGGAAAAGAUAGAGCUGAAUGUUUUGGGGUAGGGAGAGAAAGAAGAAUAGAGACGGAAUAUUCGGGCAAGAAGAAGAUGGGGGAGGAAGAGGUUGAAAAUGGAGCAGCCCCAUGUGUCUUGCACGAGCCACAAGAAGGUAGAGAUGUCAUAAAUGGGCAAUAGAGUAGUGUCGUGGUGUAUUUGUCUGAUCUAAGCACUCAGCUUGUAGAUAUAUUACUGAGUUUUCUGGUCUUUGCAUGGGCCUUUUGGGGUUGGAGAUUUACCCCUAUAAAUCUGGCUAGUAUAAGCCUCUAGGGUUUUCAUUACAAAAGACUAACGCAAGUCCUGUGAGAGGAGCAUUAUCCAACCUUCUGCAGGUCAGCCAGAGGUGGUGGAUGGGAUGAGAAAUGCAAGCAGUAGUCCAAGCAUUUCAGAUUAAAGGUGUUUGGUUAGAGUAGCAAACUAGCAGCAGGGACCAGGACAAGAUGGCUGCAUAGAGCUAGCCAGGUGGGGUGAGAAACACCACUACUACCAGAGCAUAGCAGGAAUUUGCAUUCCUGUGUUCUCAUUGCUGCUGUUGUUCUCACUGAAGCUGAUUAUUCAGUGAAUUCAGGCGACACUGCUGGCAUGGAUGUAUGUUUGUCCAGUGUGGGUCUCAUCUGAAGUGGCCGGAAGAAGAGAAGAACAGCCCUCUUCGCUCUUCUGCCUUCUCUUUGGCAAGAUAAUGGCCAAAGGUAAACACAAGGCCAUUGGAGGAUGUGGAGACCAGUGUGACUAGGGUGGGGUAGCUUCCACUCCUCUUCAGCUCAAAGGUAAUGCAUCGUAUACAUCAAGGGUAGGGAAUAACUGGAUUCGAUGUGUGAGCCUCUGUUGUUCUGCCCUGCACCUGGAGAACUUGCCUGUACAGUAAGCCACAUGAUCCCAUGGUUUGAUUAUAUGUUGUGAUAUCUUAGGCUCUGUACCCAGUAUGUUCUAUUUCUUCCACAAUUGCAGGGUCUAGCCUGACAGAGCUCAGUCCUUCAUAGGGAUUUGGGAAAGCCUUUCAAUCUUCCUUUAACCAGGGGUACAUCAUCACAUCUGUGACUGUCAAACUAUAUUUCGUGUUGACUAUCAUUAAGAGGCCAAGAGGUCCUACAUCUCUUCUGACACCCCACAGAGGUUAGGAUACAUACUUGCCACAACCGGUCUUCAAAACUGUAGUAUGAAGACAGAGUAAAAUCUGACUUUUUUUAAUCUACCAUUAAAUGUAAAACUAUGGUCCAUAUGUCAUUCUGUGGACUAUCAUAAAGUUUGCUGAGGAAGAGUUCAGGAGCUCCAAAAGAGAAAGGACCACAGUGCCAGUUCAGCAUUGCCCUGGUUCCACUUGAUUUCUAAGGCAAAAGUCGAUGAUUUUGACUUUUCCAGUUAUGUCCAACAUAAUCUUAUCCAGUUUCAGUUCACUCGGUACUAUACCGUGCUCAUGGCAUUAGCUCACAGUUGCUAUUAUUUGCCUAAAUAUUUCCCUGCCCUUGUCCUCCUCUAGGUGGCCCCAUUUUCAGGUGUUUUGGUAAAGCUGUUGUCCUUCAAUAAGCUCUUAAUUGUGGAAGUAAGAUGCUGUUCAGGUUGUUGACCAUCAUCAUUGUUUCUGCCUUGGCCAUGUGUGGCCUACACCAAUGCUUCUUUACAAGCAGUUCGAUGGCCAUGGGACUGCUAGGGAGGCGAUGAUGUGAUAUCGGGACCUUGGCAUUGCUCCUUAAGUCCUUAAGACUUUGUACUGAGUGUGGAAGUUUCCCUCCUCAGAGAUUCUGCUGGGGACUAGGGUUUGGGAAAUCCUCCUUACUAUGUGUAAGCAUUGUAGCUAAAAAUACUACAAAUAAUACCUAGAAGUAACUUUAAAAGUGUAGAAUAAAAAUAAUGAAAAAGAUGUUUGGAAACUGAAGCUAUCGUCACUUCAUGUGUUAACUAAAAUGAGCAAAAUGUCUUGUGGAUUACUGUUUGAAUUUUUUCCUCUCAAGAGGGCGGCCCUGUAGUGCAAUAGAUCACAUAUUCAGAUGAUGUCAAUUGAAAUAGUAAUUAGCCAUAUAAAGGCUACAGCCUGUCAUUGGGCAAUGGAAGGAAAAGAUAGAGCAGAAUGUUUUGGGAAAGGGAGAGAAAGAAUAGAGAUGGAUGAUGCGGGCAAGAAGAAGAAGAUGGGAGAGAAGAGGUGGAAAAUGGAGCAGGCCCAUGUGGCUUGCAGGAGCCACAAGUAGCUAGAGAUUUCAUAAAUGGGCAAUAGAGUAGUGUAGUGGUAGAUUUGUCUAAUCUAAGCACUCAGCUUGUACUUAUAUUAUUGAGUUUUCUGUUCUUUGACUGGGACUUUUGGAGUUUGAGAUUUACCACUAUAAAUCUGGCUAGUAUAAGCUUCUGGGUUUUCAUUUCAAAAGACUAAGGCAAGUCCUGUGAAAGGAGCAUUAUCCAACCUUCUGCAGGUCAGCCAGAGGUGGUGGAUGGGAUGAGAAAUGCAAGCAGUAGUCCAGGCAUUUCAGAUUAAAGUUGUGUGGUUAGAGUAGUAAACUACCAGCAGGAACCAGGACAAGAUGGCUGCAUAGAGCUAGCCAUGUGGGUUCAGGAUAACCACUGAUACCAGAGCAUAGCAGGAAUUUGCAUGGGUUUAAUUUAAAACUUCAUGCAAUAGAAGAUGUUGCCUGUGGUAGUCAACAAUCCACUAGGGAGUUAGGAUUCUUGUCCUAGGGAUGAGAGAAUUAGAUUCCUGAAUGAGCAGAGAUGAGUCAAGUGACUCCAGCACAUGGGAAUCUUAAUCAAACACAGUGAUAGACAGACCCAAAUCAGGCUCUGAGUUCUCCUCUUGUAAAAAGAAUCAGUAUAAUAAAUGGAUCCAGGCAGAGAGGGAGACUGAAGACUGCCUGCUUUUAAUGAAGUUUGGUUUAGUUGUUGCUAAUUUGGUGUAAUUUUGUUUAAAGAUAGAAGAGGACACAAUUUUGGCCAGAGUCACCUGGGGAAUUCCUCCUGAGGUUCAGAGCUAACUCAGGGCAAAUGGGCCCAGAUUAUCUGGGAGCUCCUGCUGUGCAGGGACAAACUGAGCUAACAGAAAAACUACAGCCUCCAAGGCAGACAGCAGAAUUUGGAUAAGGAUGAAAUCCUCUAGGAAAGUCUCAGUGUCUCACAGGAUUCUCAUAUUCUCUCAAAAGAGGGUUAAAUGUCCUGUCUUGGCAGAUUAGAAAAGGCCCGAAAAAACUGUUUCUACUCUGCUUGUUUGGUUUAGUUCCCUCGUAUGAGUAUUUAAUUUUCGAAAUGUAUGUGAUUUUGAAUUUUCUGGUUAUUUUACUAUUCCUCUGGGAAAGAUGUCAACCUAAAAAUCUUUCUGGUUACUGGCUAAAGCGCAUGCUAAUUUGGGAGAAAGACCUUAUGUUUCUGCUUAUAGGAAAAGUAAUUAGGCACUGGACUCCUUCCAGGGUUCUCUGGGUCAGAAAGGGCAGAUGAGCCCCCCUGAAGAACUAGAAAAUUCAAGAGAACCAAGCAAGAAAGGUAAAGAUUCCUUAUGCCAUUGUUCACAAUGCAUGAACGAAGACUUAUGAUUAGUUAUUAUUAAAUUUGGCUCAUAAAAAGACUAUCUUUUCACAUGCUUAAACAAAGAGCAGUAUUUCAUCUUGAGUAGUCAAGGUAUUUCAUGUUAAACUGGUUCACAAUUGGCUUAGCAAUCGAGCCUCAGGAUGCAGAGUAACACAGCUGCAUAGAGCUAGCCAUAGGGACUGGGUGAAACUCUGAUGCCUGUGUUUAGCCAGACUUAGUGUGGGGUUAUUUUAAAAAUUACAUGUAACAAAAAGUGAUUGAAAGAAACUAAAGUCAAAGUUAGGAAAAUAGAAUAAAAAUUAUGGAAAAGAUAUCAGGGAAAAAGCUAAAGUCAAAAAUCCCAAGUAAAAUUCAAACAAAUAACCCACCUUGUAUUCUGUUCAGAAAAGUCACGAAGCUCUCUAGAAGGAGACAAGACAGGAUGCAGCUGUUGGGCUAUCUCAGGCAAACUCUGCACCAGAGCACCUGUUCAAAGAGAUUAGAACAUCAUUAUUGUAUCAUGGAUGUUUACUGGGAGAAUGGAAUGAUUUCACAGCUGAGUUGUGGAAUUCUAUAGAUCUAUAAAAUAACCUCUGCAGUGGAUAAUAUAAAGUUAUGAAAUAUCUUCCAGCUUCAUUAAUCAGAACUAUAAAUUUUCAAUCUAGCCCAUGGAUGCUGAUGGUAACUGUCGCUUCUGUUUCCGACCCGCAGAAAAGAGCGACUACACAGCGUUCUUUUCAAAGCGGUUUAUUCAGGAACCUUACAACAUGCAAACAGGAAUCUUUCUUUUCUUUUCUUCUGUCUCCCUCCCAGCCCAGCCCCCGAGCACACUCCCUUAUAUCCUCCCUCAACUCCGCCUCCUCAGUCCAGACUGCAUAAUCUCAGUUCAUAGGUCCACGUCACAUGGCCUGAUCUUGCAUCAUGGUGCACCUGCACAGCUCUCACAAUGGACGUGGCUAGUUUCAGGUGUGUGAGGAAGUCAGAUGCUAGUCACGAGACUUAGCUGCAGUCCCAGGCGCCAUCUUGGGACUACCGCCACACCCGCUCCCCACAGAAUUGGAAAGCUCACCUUUGAUCCUGAUUUGAGGCUGGGAGACACAAAUUUCUGAACUGAAUCUUGGCAUGGAGAUCAUGAGGCAAAGUGGCUGUGAAUCUCAGGAGUUUAAGACAAGGAGAUCUCUGAGUUCAAGGUCACCUAGGACAAAGCAAGUCCCAGUUCCAGCUGUGGUGGUACACACCUUUAAUCUGGGACACACCUUCUGCUGGAGAUUUAUAUAAGGACAUUGGAAGAAGGAAGAGUCUCUCUUUCAUCUGCCUGCCUGAUUUGUAGGACUGAGCCACUGCUAGAUCCUUGGACUCCUAUCCAUACCUGUUGCUGAUCAUUGUUGGGGAGUUGGACUAUAGACUGCAAGUCAUCAACCAAUUGUCUUACUGUACAGAGAUUUCCCAUAAGUUCUGUGUCUCUAAAGAACCCUGUAUAAGACAAUUCUCUUUUAUAAUAUAUAAUUUCUAUUGAUAGAUAAUGUAAUUUAUUUUUUUAUUCAUAAUAUUAUUAUAUUCAUCCCUAUGUUUAUAUGUAAAUAAAACACAGGUUGUAUGCCUAUGAAACAGUAACACACUGCAUACUUGAUGACUGCUGUCUUUUCCCUACUCCCUACUGCAGGGGAGAAAAUGGACCAUUCUCAUCAAUGAAAAAGGUAAAAUAAAAUGUUAACUAUUGGCUGGAAACACAGAUGGUUUACAAAUAAAAUUACAUCUUCUUGAUUGCUACUUU
This is a long non-coding RNA of Rattus norvegicus (Norway rat), 44209 nucleotides long. RefSeq lists it as uncharacterized. NCBI's taxonomy places the organism in Eukaryota, Metazoa, Chordata, Mammalia, Rodentia, Muridae. The record is from RefSeq and is a predicted model, not a curated record.